This 76-nucleotide transfer RNA is filed under the name Psychrilyobacter atlanticus. It matches the Rfam family "tRNA". Rfam says of the family: Transfer RNA (tRNA) molecules are approximately 80 nucleotides in length. The record is from RNAcentral. RNAcentral also lists the same sequence under 3 other names. Lineage: Bacteria; Fusobacteriati; Fusobacteriota; Fusobacteriia; Fusobacteriales; Fusobacteriaceae.
GCUUCUUUAGCUCAGUUGGUAGAGCGCUCGACUGUUAAUCGAGUUGUCACAGGUUCAAGUCCUGUAAGAAGCGCCA